This 265-nucleotide ribosomal RNA is filed under the name uncultured Zooshikella sp. Its description in RNAcentral is "partial 16S ribosomal RNA". It matches the Rfam family "Bacterial small subunit ribosomal RNA", at positions 88 to 355 of the family's 1533-position model. Lineage: Bacteria; Pseudomonadati; Pseudomonadota; Gammaproteobacteria; Oceanospirillales; Zooshikellaceae. The record is from RNAcentral.
CUGACGAGCGGCGAACGGGUGAGUAACGCUUCGGAAUCUACCCAUGGGUGGGGGAAUAACCAGCCGAAAGGUUGGCUAAUACCGCAUACGUCCUACGGGGAAAGCAGGGGAUCGCAAGACCUUGCGCCGAUGGAUGAGCCGAAGCCGGAUUAGCUAGUUGGUAGGGUAACGGCCUACCAAGGCGACGAUCCGCAGCUGGUCUGAGAGGACGACCAGCCACACUGGGACUGAGACACGGCCCAGACUCCUACGGGAGGCAGCAGUU